CGAGCACAUUACGCUGUGCUGAUGCGAAGAGGGGGAGACGGAUGAGUGGGAGGGGGAUGUGCGCUGUGAUGUGUACGCAAGCAUGAUGAGAGCGAGAAGUGGUGAUGCACGUGUGUGAUGUGCAAAGUGAAGGCGCGUGCACAGCAGUAAGGUGGUAGCAGGUGAGACCGCAAUCAA
Molecule: non-coding RNA, 177 nt
Filed under: Palpitomonas bilix
Lineage: Eukaryota
Source: RNAcentral